GAUGAACGCUGGCGGCGUGCCUAAUACAUGCAAGUCGAGCGAACAGACGAGGAUCUUGCUCCUUUGACGUUAGCGGCGGACGGGUGAGUAACACGUGGAUAACCCACCUCUCAGACUGGGAUAACUGCGGGAAACCGUAGCUAAUACCGGAUAACCUUUUGAACCGCAUGGUUCAACAGUGAAAUACGGGCUUGCUGUCACUUCUAGAUGGAUCCGCGCCGCAUUAGGUAGUUGGUAAGGUAACGGCUUACCAAGUCAGCGAUGCGUAGCCGACCUCGGAGACUGAUAGCCCGCCUGGGAGCGUAGACACGGUCCAGAGGCCUACGAGACGGAGCAGUAGGCAACGUGACGCAAUGGGCGAGAGUCUGACGGAGCAACGCAGCGCCAGUGGAGGAGGUGUUCGGAGCGUAAAACUCUGUUACGAGGUGAGAACAAAUGUGUAAGUAACUAUGCACGUAUUGACGGUACCUGAACAGAAAGCCACGGCUAACUACGUG
RNAcentral lists this ribosomal RNA (497 nucleotides) under uncultured bacterium. Its description in RNAcentral is "partial 16S ribosomal RNA". It matches the Rfam family "Bacterial small subunit ribosomal RNA", at positions 28 to 507 of the family's 1533-position model. The record is from RNAcentral.